GAUGAAGAACGUAGCAAAAUGCGAUAAGUAAUGUGAAUUGCAGAAUUCAGUGAAUCAUCGAAUCUUUGAACGCACAUUGCGCCCGCUGGUAUUCCGGCGGGCAUGCCUGUUCGAGCGUCAUUUCAACCCUCAAGCCCCCGGGUUUGGUGUUGGGGAUCGGCUCUGCCCUUCUGGGCGGUGCCGCCGCCGAAAUACAUUGGCGGUCUCGCUGCAGCCUCCAUUGCGUAGUAGCUAACACCUCGCAACUGGAACGCGGCGCGGCCAUGCCGUAAAACCCCAACUUCUGAAUGUUGACCUCGGAUCAGGUAGGAAUACCCGCUGAACUUAAGCAUAUCAAUAAGCGGAGGA
This 348-nucleotide unclassified non-coding RNA is filed under the name soil metagenome. RNAcentral describes it as "partial contains 5.8S ribosomal RNA, internal transcribed spacer 2, and large subunit ribosomal RNA". The stretch from base 1 to 120 matches the Rfam family "5.8S ribosomal RNA", at positions 35 to 154 of the family's 154-position model. The record is from RNAcentral.